AUUACCCACACAAAGACCUAGUAUUGAUAAAAAGGAAUUCGACUUAGGGCUUUAAGGGAAGAGCGUGUCUCAACCCAGGCACUGGAGAGUAACACAAGCUUUGCAUUCAGCUUUUCCAGAAUCGACUCCAGGAUCUUAUCGGAAGGGACCAGCAGGUUCUGGAUUUUCCUAAGCUUGGACUGCAUUUUUCAUUCUUCUGGAAACAACCUUAAGUUCAGGAGGCCGAGAAACCUAAGAACCUGGAACCAGCAUCCAGCAUGGACUUUUGUGCAGCAUGGAGAGCUGGGCUAAAUGUAUCCUUUGAUCUUAAAGGCCCCACCUCAUAUAAUGACAACUGAGUUGCAGCAUGAAUUUGGAAGAGACCUUAAACCAUCAUACUGGUAAGGGAUGGUGUGUGAGAACAUGCUGGGACAGUUGAAGAAGAGCACCUAUCAUGUUCAAACUCUGUUUUUAUAUUAAACCAACCUACAAGCAUAGA
Molecule: small RNA, 478 nt
Filed under: Rattus norvegicus (Norway rat)
Lineage: Eukaryota; Metazoa; Chordata; Mammalia; Rodentia; Muridae
Description: uncharacterized LOC102548224
Source: RNAcentral